CCUUACUGUAGCUUUGUAUUGGACUUUGAACAGAUCUGUGUAGGAUAGGUGGGAGGCUUUGAAGCUGGGACGCUAGUUCUAGUGGAGCCAACGUUGAAAUACCACCCUGGUGUGUUUGAGGUUCUAACCUAGGUCCAUUAUCUGGAUCGGGGACAGUGCAUGGUAGGCAGUUUGACUGGGGCGGUCUCCUCCCAAAGCGUAACGGAGGAGUUCGAAGGUACGUUAGUUACGGUCGGACAUCGUGAUGAUAGUGCAAUGGCAUAAACGUGCUUAACUGCGAGACUGACAAGUCGAGCAGAUACGAAAGUAGGACAUAGUGAUCCGGUGGUUCUGUAUGGAAGGGCCAUCGCUCAACGGAUAAAAGGUA
This 367-nucleotide ribosomal RNA is filed under the name uncultured organism. RNAcentral describes it as "bacterial LSU rRNA". It matches the Rfam family "Bacterial large subunit ribosomal RNA", at positions 2098 to 2465 of the family's 2925-position model. The record is from RNAcentral.